CCUACGGGAGGCAGCAGUGGGGAAUUUUGGACAAUGGGCGAAAGCCUGAUCCAGCAAUGCCGCGUGUGUGAAGAAGGCCUUCGGGUUGUAAAGCACUUUUGUCCGGAAAGAAAUCCUUGGCUCUAAUACAGUCGGGGGAUGACGGUACCGGAAGAAUAAGCACCGGUUAACUACGUGCCAGCAGCCGCGGUAAU
RNAcentral lists this ribosomal RNA (194 nucleotides) under uncultured bacterium. RNAcentral's name for it is "partial 16S ribosomal RNA". It matches the Rfam family "Bacterial small subunit ribosomal RNA", at positions 338 to 524 of the family's 1533-position model. The record is from RNAcentral.